Molecule: long non-coding RNA, 131 nt
Organism: Amphimedon queenslandica
Lineage: Eukaryota; Metazoa; Porifera; Demospongiae; Haplosclerida; Niphatidae
Exons: 3
Source: RefSeq, a predicted model, not a curated record
UCAAUGUCCUCAUCACAGCCUGAAGGAAAACAGUUAUCAACAAGUCACCAUGAUGAUAAGAUGUCAGCUGAGCUAACUAAAGAAAGUACAUACAGGCCUGACAAGAGUACUACUGCAGGACAGGGAGAAGC